Molecule: ribosomal RNA, 494 nt
Filed under: uncultured bacterium
Lineage: Bacteria
Description: partial 16S ribosomal RNA
Rfam family: Bacterial small subunit ribosomal RNA
Source: RNAcentral
GACGAACGCUGGCGGCGCGCUUAACACAUGCAAGUCGAACGGAAAGGCCUGCGUUCCCUUGUGGACUGCGGUUACUCGCGUGGCGAACGGGUGAGUAACACGUGCGUUACCUGCCCCCAACUUGGGUAUAAGCCUGGGAAACUGGGUCUAAUUCCCGAUAGGACUGUAGGGUGGUGCCUGUGGUGGCAAACGAUGUUCUAGUGGCUGGGGAUGAGCUCGCGGCCUAUCAGCUUGUGGGUGGGGUAAUGGCCUACCAAGACGGCGACGGGUAGCCGGCCUGGGAGGGUGGACGGGCACAGUGGGACUGAGACACUGCCCCGAAUCCUACGGGAAGCAGCAGUGGGGAGUCAUGAGCGAUGAACGGAACCCUAAGGGAGCGACGCCGAGUGAGCGAUGACGGGCGUGGGGUUGUGGCCUCCGUUCGACCACGAGGAAGCGACCUGGUUGGAGGGGUGGUGACGGUAGUGGGAGAAGAAGCACCGGCUAACUACGUG